This 482-nucleotide ribosomal RNA is filed under the name uncultured bacterium. Its description in RNAcentral is "partial 16S ribosomal RNA". It matches the Rfam family "Bacterial small subunit ribosomal RNA", at positions 30 to 507 of the family's 1533-position model. The record is from RNAcentral.
AUUGAACGCUGGCGGCAUGCCUUACACAUGCAAGUCGAACGGUAACAGGUCUUCGGAUGCUGACGAGUGGCGAACGGGUGAGUAAUACAUCGGAACGUGCCCGAUCGUGGGGGAUAACGAGGCGAAAGCUUUGCUAAUACCGCAUACGAUCUACGGAUGAAAGCGGGGGAUCUUCGGACCUCGCGCGGACGGAGCGGCCGAUGGCAGAUUAGGUAGUUGGUGGGAUAAAAGCUUACCAAGCCGACGAUCUGUAGCUGGUCUGAGAGGAUGAUCAGCCUCACUGGGACUGAGACACGGCCCAGACUCCUACGGGAGGCAGCAGUGGGGAAUUUUGGACAAUGGGCGAAAGCCUGAUCCAGCCAUGCCGCGUGCAGGAUGAAGGCCUUCGGGUUGUAAACUGCUUUUGUACGGAACGAAAAGCCUCUUUCUAAUAAAGAGGGGUCAUGACGGUACCGUAAGAAUAAGCACCGGCUAACUACGUG